Molecule: long non-coding RNA, 1802 nt
Organism: Varroa destructor (honeybee mite)
Lineage: Eukaryota; Metazoa; Arthropoda; Arachnida; Mesostigmata; Varroidae
Source: RefSeq, a predicted model, not a curated record
UGAAACAGCAGCGCUCAAUUAAGUACGAGUCAACUCUGAAGGCAGCAAAUUGUUACGGUUCACAGCUAUCGACUUUACUACUACCCCGGUCGCCGUUGCUCAAAAUUGAUGAUCAGUUAAGAUUCUACAUACAAUAACCAAUCAACAGGUCAUUGGUCAGCUUGUUUUUGUUGCUUCGGCUGUUGUCAUCGUUUUCUCCCUCUUAUAAAAUAGUCCGUUCAGUUCAAGCACAUUGCGGACCCCCGAAUACGCCCUGGGGGAAGUUUCCGCUAAUGUGCUAAUCGACCGACAAAUCAAAUAGCAGCCUACAAUGCAAAAACAACCAUUCCAUUAAGCUUAUCGAGAUGAAAUGGUUAAAAUCGGAAACUGACAAAUGGCCGAAAUCCAUUCCAAACAAGUGCCGCAACACUCGAUCUGGAUCUUUCGUAGCAGUGCUAUGUCCAAAUCAUGUCAGCAUGCUCCUGUGUUAAACCGUAACGCGUGUAUUUCGGGUGUUCGACCGUUGGAUUACAUGAUGACUGUAACAGGCACCUUAUGGCCUGCAAAAUGAUGUUUACUUCAGCUGAAACAAGGUAUCACUUUCUAUAUGGAACCAAUCUAAAUUGGGCCAAGAGUCUUUGGAUAGCUAACCGGUUGGGGUUGUACAGAGACUUUCGGCCUAUCCCGUAUCAAGAUUCUACCAACAUAUACUGUGAGCCAGCUGCUUGGCUGUGAUUGUAGCGGAUACCGUAGAAAUAUAAGGUACAUACUCUAUAAAUCAACUUAUUCCAGCUUUUUCUUGCAACUUUUAACUUGAGCUAAUGCCACAUUGUGACACCGCAUGAGAUGUUAUACGCAAACAUGAACGCUUGAAGUCUCUUUUGGCAGACACAUGAAACGAAAAGGUAAAUCACAAAUAACUAACAAUGAGAGGGUCUGCCAACCACAAUUCUUUCAUUUGGCUAAUUAUUAUCGAUGUUAUUUUAUUGAUUACUGGCGUUUCCGGUAGCACCGGUAACGAGAUUAGUAUCGUAGAUGUAUAGAUCCCGAACUAUACAUCUACUACAAAACGUACUUCUUCAAAGAGACGCUUUGUUCAGUUAGAAGGUGGGGGCUACUAGUCAGUUACAUAUGUAUUUGAAAGAUACUGUUUCUGUACUUGUGUUUGUUCCUAUGUUCGUGUACAUAAAUAUCCGACGCAGUAUCAGAGGCGAAGUAAUGUAUCCCGCAGAAACAAAUAACAAUCGUUAAGCUGACAUGUGAUGAAGAUCAGGUGCACGGAACGUGAUAGGCCCAUACGGAGGAUCUUAGGCAAAACAUCUAUACGUAUGUGGUAGCAGUGGAUGAUACAAUGUAUUGUUAAACUGGUCUAUCACUUACAAUCUUCGAAGCUAACCAAGAAGCUUGGCUAAUAGCGAGUAAUAGCGUGGCGUUAUAAUUACCAUAUAUAUUCGUAUGUCCUAUUAGGGCAACGUUAUUUUGUUUCGAGCUGCAUGUACCGUUAGCGUUAAAGUUAUUCCAAGGAAACAGUGAAGUUAAUAAAUCAGCUAGCUGUCCUAUCAACGAAACGUGUUCCGUCGAUACAAACAAAAUACGACGCUGUGAUCUGUUUCAUAGAAUCUGCUGUCAUCAUCAUCGUCCGUUAUCACUAGCAAUAGAUAAACAAUCGAUGAUAAAGCUUCAAUGGGACCGUGGGACCUCGGCAUUUAUUUUGGCAUUAAAAGUCGACAUUUACCGUAAAAUACUAACUAAAUAAAUAGCACUUCAUGUAACGGUGUGAUAAGUAUACUACUUUGAUUGAAAAAGCUUAUUUUUAUUAUCAA